RNAcentral lists this transfer RNA (75 nucleotides) under Firmicutes bacterium CAG:124. Its description in RNAcentral is "transfer RNA-Gln(TTG)". It matches the Rfam family "tRNA". Rfam says of the family: Transfer RNA (tRNA) molecules are approximately 80 nucleotides in length. Lineage: Bacteria; Bacillati; Bacillota. The record is from RNAcentral. RNAcentral also lists the same sequence under 9 other names.
GGGGAUGUCGCCAAGCGGUAAGGCACAGGACUUUGACUCCUGUAUGCGUAGGUUCGAAUCCUGCCAUCCCUGCCA